This is a long non-coding RNA of Homo sapiens (human), 1736 nucleotides long. NCBI's taxonomy places the organism in Eukaryota, Metazoa, Chordata, Mammalia, Primates, Hominidae. The record is from Ensembl.
UUCGGCAGAAAGGCCUCCCCGGGAGGGGCUGGGAGCUCCCCAAGCAAGGGCAGGCACUUCCCCUCCCUUUGGCCACUUGGCCCUGGAGGGCUUCUUUGGAGAUAAAUCCCACAGAAGGGGAGGGGAAAUUAUGUAACUCAGGGAAAAACGCUAUGUGGAGUCCCAUGUACUCACAAUCUCUCUGGAGGAAACCAGGCUUCACCGUCGCCAGGUGACAACGAAAUGCCCUAACCCCGGGCUGCCAGCAGCACAGGGCCAUGGAAUCCAGGGAGAAACAAGCUCUGAGCUGAGGGGUGUGUAAAAUGGAGGUUCUGAUUCGGUAGCUCCGGGGCGGGCCUGAGCUCUGCAUUUCUGAUGCUCCCAGGGAUGCUGAUGUUGCUGGUCUGGGGACCGCUCUGAGGUCAGGGCUGUGGAGGGCAGGCACCAGGCUGAGCAGCGGCACUGCUGGUGCUGAGUCAGCUCUUCCCUCAGCCCCUGAGGUCUGGAGUGCUUCCCGUUGGGAGAUUUACUAGUUUUCUUGCUUGGCUACCCGGCAUUAACAGGUACGGUAAAUGGGAAUACAUGGCUACAGUUGAGUUCUAGUGGGCGAAAUGUCCAGUUACAUGUUAGCUGCAACCCUUAACAAGCAGAAGUGAAUAAUCUAUUCGGCUACUCCACAACACAGAAUGUGUGCCUAUGUUUCGUAUGAUAGCACGAAAGUAAUGCCUUAGAAUUACUAAUGACUCUGAAGCCUCCAGUUAUUUUAAAGGUGCCGUCCUAGUUAUCUCUUGGAAAUACAUUGAGAAAAAACAACCCUUUCACAGCAGCCCAGUGACCUUUCUACAAACUUACGCUUGUGAAGGAAUCUUUAAUAUUUUAGAUCCUUAGCCAAAUGUAACAUUUUACUUUAAUUUUCUGGACUGGACAUUUGCAGCUUUAAUGUUUAAUUUUGGGGGGCCAAGUCAUGUCUAAACGGGCUUCUUCUUUGAGAUCCCCCCUUUUGCAUGUUGUGGAAAAAGUCAGAGCUUCCCCUGUACGGAAGCUGAAGAAGCCAGACGCCUUGUCUUCCUGGUCCCAGAAGGCAUUGGAACCGUGGGAAGCGAGUCUCCUGCCCAUCUCUGUUCAUCCCGGACAGUUGCAAUUGUGGAGGGACCCUCCAAUGACAUUGGACACUGGAGGCCCAGAGAAGGAAGUCCUCUGAAGAGAAUAAAAUAGUCCACUUAAAGCAACACCAGAAGUCUCUUGGGAUAUGUGAGGACAAUAGCUCCCUGUGUGUGCUGGAGACCUUGGACAAAGUCCCCAAGUCAUAUCCAUACCUACAAGGUGUCAGAAGAAAAGAUUACAACACAUCCCGUUUAAAGACAAGGAAACUGCAACAAAAAGUGUCAGACCCCACACUGUGAUCUCAACACUGCUGAGCUCUGCCUGGAAUCUUGGAACUCUCCAGCGAUCUCCUCUCCUUAAGAGUGGACGUGGGAUGCCUCCACGCAUUCAGUCAAAAUAAGGUUAUGGUGUGCCUGUUGUGUGCUAGGAAUUAUCUUCUCAUCAGAAAAAGAAUCUCUCUAUGUUUUGGGAAUAAGUGAAGAACAAAAUGAUGAUGUGUAAGAGGUUCUUGCCAAAUUGGUCGGCACAGAGAAGCCCUGGAGAAAGGCUGACAGUAUUGCUGGUGGGGGCUCUGCUGGCUGGUUUCCAGGACUCUUCCUCUGGGACAGCUUGUGCUUCCUGCCACCCUCCCCAGGGUCAUUUCUUAUCCUUCC